AUUGGACAAUGGGGGGAACCCUGAUCCAGCAAUGCCGCGUGUGUGAAGAAGGCCUGAGGGUUGUAAAGCACUUUCAGUGGGGAGGAGGGCUUAGAGGUUAAGAGCUAUUAAGUUGGACGUUACCCACAGAAGAAGCACCGGCUAACUCCGUGCCAGCAGCCGCGGUAAUACGGAGGGUGCGAGCGUUAAUCGGAAUAACUGGGCGUAAAGGGUGCGUAGGUGGUUGAAUAAGUUAUAUGUGAAAUCCCUGGGCUCAACCUGGGCAGGUCAUAUAAUACUGUUUGACUCGAGUAUGGGAGAGGGUAGUGGAAUUUCCGGUGUAGCGGUGAAAUGCGUAGAGAUCGGAAGGAACACCAGUGGCGAAGGCGGCUACCUGGCCUAAUACUGACACUGAGGCACGAAAGCGUGGGGAGCAAACAG
RNAcentral lists this ribosomal RNA (420 nucleotides) under uncultured bacterium. RNAcentral describes it as "bacterial SSU rRNA". It matches the Rfam family "Bacterial small subunit ribosomal RNA", at positions 363 to 775 of the family's 1533-position model. The record is from RNAcentral.